Amphimedon queenslandica is the source of this 595-nucleotide long non-coding RNA. RefSeq lists it as uncharacterized. The transcript is spliced from 3 exons. The record is from RefSeq and is a predicted model, not a curated record. NCBI's taxonomy places the organism in Eukaryota, Metazoa, Porifera, Demospongiae, Haplosclerida, Niphatidae.
UACAAAAUCUAAUUCAGUAAUUGUUCUAAUGGUGCAGUAAGACUUGUUGAUGGUAGUGGACCUCAUGAAGGAAGACUUGAAGUGUGUAUCAAUGAAGCAUGUGGCACUGUCUGUUCUAAUGGCUGGAAUAACACUGAGACUAAUAUUGUCUGUCAUCAAUUAGGAUACCUACCAAAAUUAUAGUUAUUAUUACUCACUACUUAAACACUAUUAUAGAAGAAGUGUGUAGGGACUGAGAACUCACUAUUAGAGUGCCAUCAACAAGCCUGUUGCUGUGUUGAGUACUCACAGCUUUGAUGGUGGCAAUGUAUGUGAAACUCCUGGUAUAAAUGGUACUGUUAGACUUGGUGAUGGAGCAGUACUAAGAGGAAGAGUAGAAUUUGCUACAAUCAUUCAUGGGUUACUAUCUAUUCUCAUAGCUGCAUGGACAGCAAAAGAAGUUACUGUCAUAUGCUCUCAAUUAGGAUAUUCAAAUUAUGAUACAGCAGAAUUGAGAUACAUUAUACGGUAUACAUGUAUGUUGUAUAAAAUGAAACUCAAUUUUUUUUAUAAGUUCUAUUGCAUUUAUUAAUGAUGAGUGGUCUAUGCAUGGGCA